RNAcentral lists this long non-coding RNA (345 nucleotides) under Vigna radiata. RNAcentral's name for it is "long non-coding RNA (VRAD_LNC014026)". The record is from RNAcentral. Lineage: Eukaryota; Viridiplantae; Streptophyta; Magnoliopsida; Fabales; Fabaceae.
GCAAACUCUUUCAUUUCUAAAUCGCAGAUUUUAUUUUUUAAACUCAUUUUUCAAAUUCUUAUGAGCAAUAUCCAAUUUUUCAGAUUUAUUAAGUAAUUCAAUAAAAUCUUUUUGCAAAUCAAUUUCACUAAUUUCAGAACUAGAACAAAUUACAUGGCUUGUAGUGUCAUCAAUAUUAGUCAUGAAGCACAAGUUGGCUUCUUCAUCGGAAUCACUUGAACUAGUUAAGCUUGAGUCAUUAUCAUCCUAAGCAAUGUAAGUCUUUUUCUUUUUGUGAAAUUUCUUUUCUUUCUUUUCCUCACUCCUUUUGUUUUUCGGACUUGACUUUCACAUGGUCUCUUUCAC